ACGCGAGGAGAGGGGGCAGGCAUCCUGAGGGUGCGGGGUUUACAAGGAGACUGCACAGGGGAGGUGCUCAAGCGCAGGCGCAGGCGCAGGCGCAGGCGCAACGCGGGUCCCUGGGAAGCCCAGGCCCCCCAGCCCUCUGCCGAGCGCAUCAGCUUCGCAGAAGGGCGGGAGACCACGAGGGACACGCCGGACUCCAGAAAGAAAAAAAGCUGCUACGACUCCCCUGUCUUAAUCCAGCCCAGAUCUCAGUGGAAACCUAACACCACUCUAGUGACCCUGGAACUGCACCAGUGCCUCACAUCACCAAAUAAGCCUGGAUCCCGAAACCCAGCUAGCAAGAAGCUGUUGACUGGGGAGACAGGUCAACUUCCAAGUGUCAUUCAGCCAGGAGUCUUCCCACCUACAGAAACCAGCAACUAAAGGAACUAUUCCACAUUGGACUCCCAUUGCCUCUCUACUUUAUUCAUGUUUAAUGCAACUUGUGUCUGAUUGAACCCGUACACCUUGUGCCUGCCCUGGAUUCAUCCUUCUCCAGAAGCACUUGCCACUGGGUCAACUCUUCCAGGACUGAUCCUGUUAAAUACUCUUGGAGCAGUUAACGCUGCCUUGUGGCUACCGGGAUUGUCUGUUCUGGCUAAAUCCUCAGGAUCUGCCUAUGAAAAAUAUGAAGGAAAGCACCUGCAUACUUUGCUCUAGGAAUGCAGAAUUGUGCAAGAGUCUAAAAGACAGGGAAAAAGAAGAGCCACAAGACUAUUCCUGAUCCUGGAGAUAGAAUGAUACAGCCUAGAGAAUGGAUCUUCUCUCAUUACAGCUGAAUUCCUGGAAAAUGGCCCUAAUCUUCCACUUUGAAGGACUCACCCCCAAAACACAGAGCAGAGCUUUCUGGAAUUCCUAUUGUGUGGAUUUGUGCGGAGAGAAAUCAUCUGAGAGACGUCUGGAGUGCAAUGAAAGCAAUGACAAUGUUUUCUCGAUUGUUUAUGCAUAGCUCAAUCCACAUUAUUUCUGGAAGAAAAGAAAAAAAGAAAAAAAAAGAAUAAAGAAAAAGAAAACAAUGCAUUUCCCUUCAAUCCACAUGGAUUUAAAACUGGAGAUGUAAUUUAAAAAAACAGAAGCAAAAAACAAAAAACAAAACCAGAAACUGGUCUUUCCAACUAAUAAAAAAGGAACUCAGUGCUGUGCUCACAGCAAAGUUGUGGAAGAUAAUUUGAAACUUCAGUUAGCUUCCUGUAGAGAAAAAUAACAACCACCAAACUAAUGGGUAAUCAAUGGCCAAUUGCCUCAGAAAAGAGGCGCCCCACAGAAUUCCCUAGAAAUUAAUGUGCUGCAUAGGAGGCAUUGGAAAAUAUCUUAAGACUAUCCUAGUGAGCCCACCUUUCUUAACAAAUAAGUAAGGUCUAGGGUGCUAUCUUUGCUAAUAAAGACCUGGAGACGAAAUGCGGUCUUCAUUUAAGUUUCCAUGUGCUGUUCUCUGAACCACUAUAUUAAAAACAAUCUUCCCCCAUGAUUUCUAGUGCUGUAGUGGAGUAUAGUUUAUGUGAAAGUAAAUCUGGAAAGAUUACCUUUCAAAACUGCCAGAUGCUUCGCAUUUUCUGGUAGAAAUCUGGAUUCUAGGUCUGUAAUGAUAUUUCCUGCUGUGCUCAACACUCAAUCAGAACGUACGCUUCUUGGAGGGCAAUAUAAGGAUUCCAAGGCUAACUUGGUCGUUUGGCUUUUAUAUUUUUCCAAUCCAGCUGGGGGGUAUAAAUUUAAAUUUUGGGCCUCCCAAGCUAAACUUCAGAAGGGGUCUUUGUUAAUUUUAGAUCUCCUGCAGUUGAAACCCCUCCUUGCAUAAACUUUCCCAUGCAGUGCAGUUUAUGAUUAUAUUUAUACCAAUGAAUAAAACAUACCUUAAAAAAAAAGAAAACUAAAUUACGGCAUUAAUGAUACAGGAAUGUAUGGAUUCUCAUUGCCCUUGGCUCUCCCAUGUUUAGAUUCAAGUUCCUUCCUCUACCUAGUUUGAAUUACAUUAGUGUCCCCUUCCCUCUCUUCCUUCAUCCAUCUUAUACAUUCUUUAAUAGGGUAUCAUGGUUCUAAGCACAUACUCUGAAGUGUAUAAGACCAUGGUUAGGAUUUUGGCUCUUUCAUUUUAAAUCUGUUGGACUUUGGGGAUGAUUAACCUAAUUUCUCUGAUCAGUGGUGUGCUCGUCUGCAAAAUGGGGCUAAUAAUAGCAUCUACUUCUUAGCAUUAUUGUGAGAAUUAAGAGAAAUAAUAUAGAGAGAGCACUUAGCACAGUGCUGCACAGAGCACACGUAUCAGUUAAUGUUAGCUGCUUUCCCUAACCAGGGGACAGCCUUACAGAGACGCAACAUUGCGGGGGUGGGGGGUACUCUUGCACCUGCUUGCCUUGGUUCAAAUCCCUGCUUUAGUGCACUCUACAUGUGCCACCUUACACAGCUAUCAACAUCUUUGUGUCUCAGUUCCCUCAUUUCAAAAAUGAGAAUGAUAGUAGUACCUAUCUCAUGAAGCUAUUGUGAAGAUUAAGCGGAUUAAUGAUUGGUCAAUAGUGAGUUCUAUAUAUGUUCAUUAAAUAAACCUGUUAAAUAUUUGGUCCAACUCAAUUUGGUCCAGACUCUUCCCCACCCUACUGCUAUUCAUCCAUUCCUCACAGUGCUUCUCUUAAAACUCUGGGCAUUUACCUAAACAGGCUCGACACCAUACAAUAGUGUCGCCUGAACCAGAGGUGACUGGUGAGGCAAGCAGGUCAUUGAAGGCAAGCAAGCUAGCCUGGAGGUUAUGCAGUCACGCACUGUAGGCUGAUAAGAGCUGCUUAGCUCUGGGGAUUCUUAUUUUGUAACACCAUUUUUUUCAUCCAAGGACCUUCAUUGUUUUCCGGGCUCUCAUCCUAUAAAGUACUGCACAUAGAAGGUCUAGAUCCCUUACUACUGAAAUGCUUCUUGUGGUACUUCCAGCCUAGACACACUGGGCCUCAAAAACCUUGCUGAGGUUUAUAAAGGCAAGUCUGGAGCAUUGUACUUCUCUGCCAUUUCCCUGCUUGUAAAUUGCACCUCAUAUACCUUUGUAUAUAUUUGUAUCAUAUUAGUAUCUCUGUCAUCUUUGAAUGACGGUUGUAUCAUGAUUUGUCUAAAUAUAUGUGUAUUAUUUUCCUAGUUAGCCAGAGAAUUCCUCAGGAAUACCUGACAUGAUGCAUGACCUCAAAGCCUGGCACUAUCCUUAGACUGUCACAGGUACUCAGUAUACUUUUGUGUUUGGAUAAUCCUGAUAAAACCAGUGAGAGUUAAAUUUGGUUAUAAGUCUCAGAAAAAAAAAAUGACCAUGGUUUAACUAAGAUAAUAGAUUUCCCUCUUACCCUCAAAAAAGAUGUAGACUAAGGUCGGUGUGAUGGCCCAGAGUGCCAUAUUGGUUCCUUCUGUGUCAUUCCUUUGACUUCAGAUCAUGGCUCUAGCUCCUGAGAUCAUCUCAUGGUCCAAGAAACUGUUGAAACCCCAGCCAUUGUUUUCCCAUCACAGAAAACAGAAAGGUAAAAGGGGAGAAUACCUCACUUGAGGAGAACUUGCUGGUAGUUGAACACUAGGCACAUUUGUCAGCAUUCCAUUGGCUAAUGGACCACGCAUAGCUGCAAGGAAGAUGGAGAUGAGGAAGUAUGGUCUUUGUCCUCGGUGGUGAUGAGUCCUGCUAAAAGUCACAAUUUGAUGACUAAAGAAGAAUGGGAGAAUAGACACUGGGGAUGACCCUCCUGCUCUGCCCUAGCUGCCAUGGCUUUUUAGUUCCUGGUUCCAGAUCCUUCCCAUUUCCCGAUCGUUUUGCUUUCUGUUCACAAAAAGAAAUCACUUUGAUUUCUGUGAUUAAAUGUAACCAAAGAAGUCUAAGCAGCAAGCAACAUAUCCACGUAACCAUGGACAAUUUACCUUAUGUUUAUUGAUUUUUCAGAAUUGGCAACAUAUUACCUAGCCCUUUGCCUAUGUUUGCUAUGCAGAGUUGUAAAAAGUGGAAAAAAAUAAUAAUACCCAAUGCUAUAUACUAGGGACCCGGAGAUACCUAUUUUAAUCCUUACACCAAUCCUAUGGAGCAGAUUUCAUUACUUACAUAUAAAGAUAAAGAAACUGAGGAGGUUAAAGUAUGCCUCAGCCAUACUGUUGCUGAUGAGCAUAACUGGGAUUGGAGUCCAGGGCAUUCCAACGCCUGCAUGCACUGUGUAACCUCUUUGCAAUGCUUAAUAAAAGUUAACUGUUGAACUGUGCCGUAAAUCUUGUAGACGUAGUUCUGCAUCCUACCCAUUUUAAUUAUCUGAUAUGUGAUUAUUUUUCUUGAUGACAAUUUUACGUAUUCUUUGCACAGCACAGCAACAUAUGGAAAUCUGACAUGAUAACAUAUACCUUUUAGGAAUGAAGGCUUAAUAAAUCAUCUCAAAAUUUCUCACAGUUUUGUUGCUCUUACCAUUAGAACGUUCUUUAUUCAAAGUUUGUGUCUUCUAGAUCGUAGAGUGAAUUAGAGGCAUCCUUUCCCUCUUGAUUUUCCUGCUAUACUCUAGCAUGGUGAGAAUGAGCUAGAACAGAUCAUUUAAGCUCUCAGAGCUAUGCUUAGAAGGACCAGAGCACAUGGAGCAUAAUAAUUCAUUGCCAUAGUUGCUUACUCAGCAUUUUGUGAGAUGCAAAUUCUCUUCAAAACUGUUCUCUAUUAUCACCCUUUGGUGUGACCAUGUUAAAAAUGAAAAAUGAAAAUAGUGUUCCAGAGGAGCGGGGGGAAGGCUUGAGUUUCAAAAUAAAGGGAUAUGGAGGGGCAUCUGGGUGGCUCAGUUGGUUAAGCAUCCGACUUUGGCUUAGGUCAUGAUAUCGCGCUUCAUGGGUCCAAGCCC
Felis catus (domestic cat) is the source of this 4853-nucleotide long non-coding RNA. RefSeq lists it as uncharacterized. The record is from RefSeq and is a predicted model, not a curated record. NCBI's taxonomy places the organism in Eukaryota, Metazoa, Chordata, Mammalia, Carnivora, Felidae. The transcript has 7 exons.